Molecule: ribosomal RNA, 253 nt
Filed under: uncultured bacterium
Lineage: Bacteria
Description: partial 16S ribosomal RNA
Rfam family: Bacterial small subunit ribosomal RNA
Source: RNAcentral
UACGUAGGGGGCAAGCGUUGUUCGGAUUUAUUGGGCGUAAAGGGUGCGUAGGCGGCCGGGUAAGUCUGAUGUGAAAUCCCGCAGCUCAACUGCGGAACUGCAUCGGAUACUCUCCGGCUAGAGGAAUGGAGGGGAGACUGGAAUUCUCGGUGUAGCAGUGAAAUGCGUAGAUAUCGAGAGGAACACCAGUGGCGAAGGCGAGUCUCUGGACAUUUCCUAACGCUGAGGCACGAAAGCCAGGGGAGCAAACGGG